Pteropus alecto (black flying fox) is the source of this 521-nucleotide long non-coding RNA. RefSeq lists it as uncharacterized. The record is from RefSeq and is a predicted model, not a curated record. Lineage: Eukaryota; Metazoa; Chordata; Mammalia; Chiroptera; Pteropodidae. The transcript is spliced from 3 exons.
ACAUUCGCCACUCUCCGGCCAGCUACCAGGAGAUGAACUCAGCUCUGGCCGAGCUCUCAGGGAGCUACACCUCUGCUCCUCACUGUCUGGAAGCCCUGCACGAACUCUACAACCACAUCCACAGGUAUUACGACCAGAUCAUCAGCGCCCUGGAGGAGGACCCUGUAGGCCAGAAGAUGCAACUGGCCUGCCGCCUGCAGCAGAUCGCCGCCCUGGUGGAGAACAAAGUGACUGACCUGUGAGCUCUGGCCACAGCCGGCACCUGAGGCCCACCAGCUUAGAGAGCAGCAAGCAGGACCUGCCACCACAGUGCCUUAAGACCCCUGGAUGGAGCCAGCAACCGAAGAGGGCCGACAGAGAGUGGGGGGUUUCUUGUCACCUCCCCCCCACCCCAGCCUCUUCUCUCUCCCGGGCUUCUUUCUAAUUUAUAGCAAUCCUUCCCUCUGUUCCCUCAUUGUAUUUAUUUGCUUGCUGGAGAACUGCAUCUCGAAAUAAAAUAGAAAUUUGUCUUUUUAGUAAAA